RNAcentral lists this ribosomal RNA (249 nucleotides) under uncultured Ralstonia sp. RNAcentral's name for it is "partial 16S ribosomal RNA". It matches the Rfam family "Bacterial small subunit ribosomal RNA", at positions 103 to 355 of the family's 1533-position model. The record is from RNAcentral. Lineage: Bacteria; Pseudomonadati; Pseudomonadota; Betaproteobacteria; Burkholderiales; Burkholderiaceae.
CGGGUGAGUAAUACAUCGGAACGUGCCCUGUAUGGGGGAUAACUAGUCGAAAGAUUAGCUAAUACCGCAUACGACCUGAGGGUGAAAGUGGGGGACCGCAAGGCCUCAUGCUAUAGGAGCGGCCGAUGUCUGAUUAGCUAGUUGGUGGGGUAAAGGCCUACCAAGGCGACGAUCAGUAGCUGGUCUGAGAGGACGAUCAGCCACACUGGGACUGAGACACGGCCCAGACUCCUACGGGAGGCAGCAGCA